Long non-coding RNA from Oncorhynchus tshawytscha (Chinook salmon), 1958 nucleotides. NCBI's taxonomy places the organism in Eukaryota, Metazoa, Chordata, Actinopteri, Salmoniformes, Salmonidae. The record is from Ensembl.
UUUUUCUUUAUUUUACUAUUUUCUACAUUGUAGAAUAAUACAGAAGACAUCCCAACUAUGCAAUAACACAUAUGGAAUCAUGUAGUAACCAAAAUAUUUGUUAUAUUUGAGAUUCUUCAAAGUAGCCCCCUUUACCUGGAUGACAUAUUUACACACUCUUGGCAUUCUCUCCACCAGCUUCAUGAGGUAGUCACCUGAAAUGCAUUUCAAUUAACAGGCAUAGACAUCGCGGAAUGGGGUGAUCGGAAAGCUCAACACACAGAAGCUGUUGUCCUAAUAAAGAGUACAUCUUCCAGGAGAAGUGGUCGACAGCACACAGAACAUUUGAUCAGGACGAGGCCUGGAAAACCAAAGCCCAGGGCGAUGGUUUCAUGGGCUCUCUCAGGACCUUGUGGGCCCAGGCUCGUUGAAAUAUCAGCUCAACUCAGACAUGGACUCUGGCUGUGGGACAGAAAAAACAGACACUGCAACCCACUCAAGACUCUGCAGAACCACCCAGUGCCCAGCCAGCCUUCCCACCUGUCACCACCAUGGCUCCCCAGAUACCAUUCUCCAGUCUGUGGGGAGAGCAGUGAGGGGUCUGUCCAGGUUGACGUGUCCCAGUAUGAAAACUCCUCCUACCUGGUCUGACUCCUGGAGUAGCUCCUACAUGGACCUCCAGGGGCCGCAGUGGGGCCAGGACACCAAUGGACGUAGGAGCAGAGGGCCCUGCUGGGCAGCCUGGAACACAGCGUCCUUCUCCUGUCUGACUUCCCCUGUUUAGCCUACAUGUGGAGGAUAGGGGCUCUCCUCGCCCCCUCUGUUCCAGGAACGAGCAUGGCGCCACCACGGCCACACAGGCGUGUAAUUCCACCUCCAGGAUGUUUCCACUUCAAAGGGCUGCAGAAGUUGGUGCAGAUACAGUCAAUUUGACUGACAUGACAGGAUUGAAGAGACAGGACUUAACAAACUGGAGGAGGUGGUGGGAGGUGCGUUAUUCAUUGAGGUUGGCUACCUCUUCAGAAGAAUAAUCUAUAAAUAGUAUGGCACUAAACCAAAGCCUGUCAUUAUUCUUGUUGGGAAAAGUGUGGCAAUUAAACAAUAAGACCCGAGGGGGUGUGGUACAGUAUAUGGCCAAUACACCACGGCUAAGGGCUGUUCUUAAGCACAACUCAACACGGAGUGCCUGGACACAGCCCUUAGCCGUGGGGGUUUGUGAUAUCAGGGCGGCAGGGUAGCUUUCAGCCACUCAGCAUUCAGGGCUCGAACCACAGUUUAUAAUGUGAAAUAGACUAUUGUGGCUGGCAUUAGAAUUACAAUGGAAAGCAUUGCAUUUUUUAUGAGAAUUAUAUAUUUUUUAUUUACAGACUGUGUGAAUGUAGAAUGGAUAUACUGAGUGCUGUAUGAGCAGGAAUAUCUUACUGUAAAGAAGGUAUGUCCGGAAAGUUUUUAGGCAUUUACAUUUUCAUUUGUUGAUUCUAUUAGCAAGAUGUAGUGAAGCAAUUUUACAAAUGGAUUUGAAAAUAAAUAAAAUCCAAAAUGUUCAUAUUCCAGAUUGUAUCCUUGAUUCAAGUCCAUGUAAAUAUUUAGUUACUGGACUUUGAUAUAAGUGUUUAUAGAAAUAUGUACUGAUAUUUAAGACAUGAUUGUAUAGAGAUUGUCAGUGACAUUAGAGUCUGACUUGUUGUAGUGUUCUAUAGAAGGGAUACAGUAAGUCUGACUUGUUGUAGUGUUCUAUAGGAGGGAUACAGUAAGUCUGACUUGUUGUAGUGUUCUAUAGGAGGGAUACAGUAAGUCUGAUUUACUGCCAUGUUCUAUAGCAGCGAUGGCUGUGUCCUAACAGACUGAACAGGUUAUAUUAGUGCUGCAUGACCCUCCCCAGUUUGUUAUCCUCUUCUAAAUAGCUGUGGACGGGAGGUGAGGCAGACUGCCUGUGAUGACUGCCAGCUCUGCUAUGUUUGCCCCGGCUGUAACCCAGU